CCGCCUACCAUGCAAGUCGAACGGUAACAGGAUGUGCUUGCACAUCGCUGACGAGUGGCGGACGGGUGAGUAAUGCUUGGGAACUUGCCUUUGCGAGGGGGAUAACAGUUGGAAACGACUGCUAAUACCGCAUAAUGUCUUCGNACCAAACGGGGCUUAGGCUCCGGCGCAAAGAGAGGCCCAAGUGAGAUUAGCUAGUUGGUAAGGUAAAGGCUUACCAAGGCGACGAUCUCUAGCUGUUCUGAGAGGAAGAUCAGCCACACUGGGACUGAGACACGGCCCAGACUCCUACGGGAGGCAGCAGUGGGGGAAUAUUGCACAAUGGGGGAAACCCUGAUGCAGCCAUGCCGCGUGUGUGAAGAAGGCCUUCGGGUUA
This 376-nucleotide ribosomal RNA is filed under the name uncultured Gammaproteobacteria bacterium. RNAcentral's name for it is "bacterial SSU rRNA". It matches the Rfam family "Bacterial small subunit ribosomal RNA", at positions 47 to 425 of the family's 1533-position model. The record is from RNAcentral. Lineage: Bacteria; Pseudomonadati; Pseudomonadota; Gammaproteobacteria.